Non-coding RNA from Podarcis lilfordi (Lilford's wall lizard), 80 nucleotides. Lineage: Eukaryota; Metazoa; Chordata; Lepidosauria; Squamata; Lacertidae. The record is from the annotation of a GenBank genome assembly.
GCCUAAUUUUAACUAAGCUCAGCCAGUAGAGCAUGAGGCACUUAAUCCCAGGGUCGUGGGUUCGAACCCCAUAUUGGGCA